GCAUGUGGUUUAAUUCGAUGAUACGCGAGGAACCUUACCAGGGCUUAAAUGUAUUGCAUAAGCUAGAGAUAGCUUUUUCUUCGGACCAUCAAGGUGCUGCAUGGUUGUCGUCAGCUCGUGCCGUGAGGUGUCAGGUUAAGUCCUAUAACGAGCGCAACCCCUACCGUUAGUUGCUAGCAGGUCACUGAGGACUCUAACGGGACUGCCGGUGCAAACCGUGAGGAAGGUGGGGACGACGUCAAAUCAUCACGGCCCUUACGUCCUGGGCCACACACGUGCUACAAUGGCCGGUACAGAGGGAAGAUCUAUAAAACCGGUCACAGUUCGGAUCGGGGUCUGCAACUCGACCCCGUGAAGCUGGAAUCGCUAGUAAUCGGAUAUCAGCAUGAUCCGGUGAAUACGUUCCCGGGCCUUGUACACACCGCCCGUCAAGCCAUGGAAGCUGGGAGUGCCUGAAGUCCGUCACCGUAAG
Molecule: ribosomal RNA, 472 nt
Filed under: Paracellulophaga baltica
Lineage: Bacteria; Pseudomonadati; Bacteroidota; Flavobacteriia; Flavobacteriales; Flavobacteriaceae
Description: Cellulophaga baltica bacterial SSU rRNA
Rfam family: Bacterial small subunit ribosomal RNA
Source: RNAcentral